This is a non-coding RNA of Maylandia zebra (zebra mbuna), 174 nucleotides long. Lineage: Eukaryota; Metazoa; Chordata; Actinopteri; Cichliformes; Cichlidae. The record is from RefSeq and is a predicted model, not a curated record.
CCGUUAGCCAGCAGUUUGUCUCCUAAAAGAGAGCUGUUUAGAGAGGCAGUUUUGAAUUUAGGAGCAGCAAGAUGGAAGCGGCAAACCCUGGCGAUUCUCCGCAGAAGUUGUGCAUGCAGUUUUGGUGUGCUGCUCUCCAAGACUACAAGCUGCGUUAAAGUUGGAAGUAACUGG